RNAcentral lists this long non-coding RNA (249 nucleotides) under Vigna radiata. Its description in RNAcentral is "long non-coding RNA (VRAD_LNC014842)". The record is from RNAcentral. Lineage: Eukaryota; Viridiplantae; Streptophyta; Magnoliopsida; Fabales; Fabaceae.
GUAGGAAGUAGGAAACGGUCCUUGACCGUAAUGGCAUUCAAAGCGCGGUAAUUGAUAGCUCCAUCCUUGAGCUAUGGUUCAGAUCUAUGAGCUUCCAAGGCAAAGAACAGUAGCAGCGGAUGAAUGGACUGAUGUGAAACUGAAUGUGCAGCUGAUGAAGUUUAGUGUGAUUCGGUGAAAUGGUUGGAAGUGCUUUUGGUGGCAUGGAUCUAGCUCAGAAGGCCUUCACCAUUGGAAGGAAGCUAGAGN